CCUCGCCUUUGCUGUCAAGGUCCUUGUGGCUGAAUUAAUUUCUUCGAAUUUCGACCCCGUCAACUUAGAGAAUAAGCAUUCACCCAGCAUUUUCCAGCAACUUCUUCAUUUGGGUUCAUUCUAACUAUCUGAUGCACCUACCUUGCAACAUGGCUUAAUAUUGUUAGAUCAUCGGCUUGAAGCAAAAAUAAUUUAACAGAGCAUAAUAUAUGCAAAUUGAGCUAAUUAGAAUUCAACUGGUCAGAAAUUAAUCAAGAAUUUAAAUAAUUUAGUUGAAUAAGUUAAGCUCAAAAUUGAACUUAACAGUGGCCCACAACCUAAACUCAAUUUUCAAUAAAAUAAAAAAAACUCUAGCCCUAACACCUCUCUUGCGCUGCAGCCUCCUUCAUGUGCGCCCUCGGCGUGCACGACGCCCGAUGACGACUCUUUCACCUAGGUUGCACCGAA
This 447-nucleotide long non-coding RNA is filed under the name Gossypium barbadense (sea-island cotton). RNAcentral describes it as "long non-coding RNA (GBAR_LNC015412)". Lineage: Eukaryota; Viridiplantae; Streptophyta; Magnoliopsida; Malvales; Malvaceae. The record is from RNAcentral.